RNAcentral lists this non-coding RNA (21 nucleotides) under Caenorhabditis elegans. The record is from RNAcentral. Lineage: Eukaryota; Metazoa; Nematoda; Chromadorea; Rhabditida; Rhabditidae.
UUCGCGAGGGCGCUUUUUACC